GGUCAAGUCAGUGUCUUCCUAAAGUUUGCAAUUAAUUUCCAAAUAGAAAUUGUGCUUGGUCAUUUUGUUUCCCAUAGAGUUCCUGUGGAGCAGACAUAGUGAGGACAGGCUCUCUGAAGCUCAGUAGCACAUCCAUUGGGAACUCAUCUUUGAAAAGGACAAAGCGAAAGGCACCUUCCCCACCCUCCCAAAUACCCCUGCAUCAAAGUGAUGAAAGCCACGUGGCUGCCCUGCGGUCAGUGCCUGCAGUUCCUACGGACAGUGUUUCAGAAGCAGGCUCUCCUGAGGGGCUGCCCAGCCCAGAAGCCUCACUUGGCCCUGGGCUCCCCAGUCACGAACAGUGCACUGUGCCCAAAGGGGCAGACGACAUCUCUCUCUUGGAGUGCCCUGAAACGCCCGAGGCAGCCGCAGCAUCUCUGACAU
Long non-coding RNA from Myotis lucifugus (little brown bat), 423 nucleotides. RefSeq lists it as uncharacterized. The record is from RefSeq and is a predicted model, not a curated record. The transcript has 3 exons. NCBI's taxonomy places the organism in Eukaryota, Metazoa, Chordata, Mammalia, Chiroptera, Vespertilionidae.